RNAcentral lists this ribosomal RNA (429 nucleotides) under uncultured Aggregatibacter sp. RNAcentral describes it as "bacterial SSU rRNA". It matches the Rfam family "Bacterial small subunit ribosomal RNA", at positions 355 to 776 of the family's 1533-position model. The record is from RNAcentral. Lineage: Bacteria; Pseudomonadati; Pseudomonadota; Gammaproteobacteria; Pasteurellales; Pasteurellaceae.
UGGGGAAUAUUGCGCAAUGGGGGAAACCCUGACGCAGCCAUGCCGCGUGAAUGAAGAAGGCCUUCGGGUUGUAAAGUUCUUUCGGUGAUGAGGAAGGCAGUUUGGUUAAUAGCCAAGCUGAUUGACGUUAGUCACAGAAGAAGCACCGGCUAACUCCGUGCCAGCAGCCGCGGUAAUACGGAGGGUGCGAGCGUUAAUCGGAAUAACUGGGCGUAAAGGGCACGCAGGCGGAUUUUUAAGUGAGGUGUGAAAGCCCCGGGCUUAACCUGGGAAUUGCAUUUCAGACUGGGAAUCUAGAGUACUUUAGGGAGGGGUAGAAUUCCACGUGUAGCGGUGAAAUGCGUAGAGAUGUGGAGGAAUACCGAAGGCGAAGGCAGCCCCUUGGGAAUGUACUGACGCUCAUGUGCGAAAGCGUGGGGAGCAAACAGG